RNAcentral lists this long non-coding RNA (873 nucleotides) under Homo sapiens (human). RNAcentral's name for it is "HSALNT0055229". The record is from RNAcentral. Lineage: Eukaryota; Metazoa; Chordata; Mammalia; Primates; Hominidae.
GAAGGUUGUUUUAUUAGUGCAUCAGGUACAUGCAGCUACUUUGUUGCUCUAUUCACCUAGACCUAAUCGGCUAAGGAACAACUGACUUUCCUCUAGAGGAUUUGAACUGGAGGAGGCUUGAAGUUGAACAAUGGAACUCUCAGUACCAACUUCCCUUUACAGUCUGAUCUCAGAAAUCUGACAGCCAGUUGUAUUCCCCCAGACCCUCUACCUUCACCUGGUACUGAGGUUGUCCCACAUGGCAGUUUCAGGCGCAAUUCUUCUGGAGAUGACAAAGGGCAGGAAGGUGCUUCAGGUACGUGGGGAGGUGCUCUUUGUCGUUCACACCCAUGCACUGAGGAUUUCUCUGCCUGAUACAGAGAGCCUCAUGGAGCCACCAUUGGUAAUAUUCCCUCUUUCAACUACCUGCCACAUGCCAGGCUGUUGCAUUUGCUGCUAUAUACAUGGAAAAAUAAAAUUCUGAUUAUAAUAUAUUAUAAGUAUGAUUAAAAUAGGAUGCAGUGAGAGACAAUAAUGAAGAAGACAUGUGUAUUUGGAAGACUUACUUAGAUCAGGAAGCCUCUCUCAGGAAGUGACCUUUUACUCAAAGCCUGGAGGGAAAAGAUAUCCACAAGCUAUUGACGAUAUCAUAUUUCCAAUAGAGGCAGAGUGUAAAAUGCCAUUAUUGUAACCUAUCGGAGCAGCCUGUUCAGCUGAGCUGUAACAGCCUCUGGGUCUGAAAGUUGCUUUCAUUUUGGUUUCACUCACGAAGACUGUGCUAAAAUCAGAGGGAUGAAAGAAUAAUGUUCCUCCUUAAGUUCCUAACAUGCCUGGCCACUUAGUGGGGUAAAGGAAAUAUCUAUGCUUGUUUGAGGAUCAAAUAAAAAGAUAAUU